Molecule: transfer RNA, 65 nt
Filed under: Gyrodactylus sp. FY-2015
Lineage: Eukaryota; Metazoa; Platyhelminthes; Monogenea; Gyrodactylidea; Gyrodactylidae
Description: tRNA-Lys
Rfam family: tRNA
About the family: Transfer RNA (tRNA) molecules are approximately 80 nucleotides in length. Their secondary structure includes four short double-helical elements and three loops (D, anti-codon, and T loops).
Source: RNAcentral
AAAAGUAUAGCUAUAAUAAAGUAACAGAUUCUUACUCUGUAGAAGAGGUUUAAACUCUAUUUUUA